This 66-nucleotide transfer RNA is filed under the name Ombrastacoides huonensis. Its description in RNAcentral is "tRNA-His". It matches the Rfam family "tRNA". Rfam says of the family: Transfer RNA (tRNA) molecules are approximately 80 nucleotides in length. Their secondary structure includes four short double-helical elements and three loops (D, anti-codon, and T loops). Lineage: Eukaryota; Metazoa; Arthropoda; Malacostraca; Decapoda; Parastacidae. The record is from RNAcentral.
AUUUAAGUAGUUUAAGGAAAAUAUUGGCCUGUGGAGCCUAAGUUGUAAGUAUAAUUACCUUAAAUC